CUCAUAGCGUAUAUUAAUGUUGUUGCAGUUAAAAAGCUCGUAGUUGGAUUCCUGACCUGGGGUAGCCGGUCCGCCUUGCAAAAGGUGCGCACUGAGCGGCCUCGGUCAUCCUUGAGAAGAGCGGUCCUGGCAUUCAGUUGUCGGGGUCGGGAUUCUCGACGUUUACUGUGAAAAAAUCAGAGUGUUCAACGCAGGCUUACGCCUUGAAUACAUUAGCAUGGAAUAAUGAGAUAGGACCUUGGCGGUCUAUUUUGUUGGUUUGCACGCCGAGGUAAUGAUUAAAAGGGACGGUUGGGGUUCUUCGUAUUCAAUUGUCAGAGGUGAAAUUCUUGGAUUUAUGGAAGACGAACUGCUGCGAAAGCGUCGAACAAGGACGUUCUCAUUAAUCAAGAACGAAAGUUAGGGGAUCGAAGAUGAUUAGAUACCAUCGUAGUCUUAACCAUAAACUAUGCCGAUUCAGGAUUGGCGGUCGUUUGUUCUCGACUCCGUCAGCACUGUAUGAGAAAUCAAAAUCUUUGGGUUCCGGGGGGAGUAUGGUCGCAAGGCUGAAACUUAAAGAAAUUGACGGAAGGGCACCACCAGGAGUGGAGCCUGCGGCUUAAUUUGACUCAACACGGGGAAACUUACCAGGUCCAGACAUAGUAAGGAU
RNAcentral lists this ribosomal RNA (649 nucleotides) under uncultured eukaryote. Its description in RNAcentral is "SSU rRNA". It matches the Rfam family "Eukaryotic small subunit ribosomal RNA", at positions 591 to 1240 of the family's 1831-position model. The record is from RNAcentral.